AAAAGAAUACCCUAUUUCGUAAACAAAAAUUGGAUAAAUAAAAACAAAAACAUCUUACACUUAUUCAGAGAAAUCGAGGACAAUAAUAACAAAGGAAAGAAAUUUGUUUUUAAUUACUUCUUUCGUUUAAGCAUCACUCAAACAAGAAACUAGUUUAAGAUCGAAAAGAAUAAUCACAAAUAAAAUGAUAACGAAAAAUAAGAAUAAUCGAAGUACCAGUUAUUGCAUACUCCGUGGAUUUGGGGGUUUUGCUGGGGUUUUAAAGCAUUAAACUUCAAAGGGAUAAAUAUUUUUUUGGUUUUAGGUCAACUUAAUUCAUUUUUAAAUAAGUUUUUCAUUUCCUAUUUUUUAAUAAAAUUAUGUGAUUGAUUAUUUGUAUUAUUUAGAAUUAAAAU
RNAcentral lists this long non-coding RNA (395 nucleotides) under Panax ginseng (ginseng). RNAcentral describes it as "long non-coding RNA (PGIN_LNC008975)". Lineage: Eukaryota; Viridiplantae; Streptophyta; Magnoliopsida; Apiales; Araliaceae. The record is from RNAcentral.